UAGCUGUAACAACCACGCGGCGCGCCAAGUCCCACAGCUCUGACUCCAGUCUUCCCCGUGGGAGGCGCAUCUCCCUCCUACCCUGCCAGCCGCGGGCCCCGGACCAGCUUCGUUCCUGGCCGGGACGCCGGGUCCCUCUCCCUACACGGCGCGUCCCGGGUUCAUUUGCAUAGGGACGCGCGCGGCGCCGGCGAGCGGAGAGCGGGCGUGGCCGGGAAGGCGGCGCGCGCGCACCCUGACAGCUGGGUCCUGCUCGCUCACUCGCUCGUCCCCGGCUUCCGAGCACAGCAUGGCGGUCAAGGUGCAGACAACCAAGCGAGGUGAUCCUCAUGAGUUAAGAAACAUAUUUCUACAGGAUCUGAAUCCCUUGUCUUCUUCCAGAUAACUGUGCUGCGUCUGACAAAGUAACCUAAUAAAGAUGUUCAUAUGUAUUUA
Carlito syrichta (Philippine tarsier) is the source of this 435-nucleotide long non-coding RNA. RefSeq lists it as uncharacterized. The record is from RefSeq and is a predicted model, not a curated record. NCBI's taxonomy places the organism in Eukaryota, Metazoa, Chordata, Mammalia, Primates, Tarsiidae. The transcript has 3 exons.